CCAAUAGCGUAUAUUAAAGUUGUUGCAGUUAAAAAGCUCGUAGUUGAAUUUCGGGAUCAAUAUGUCGGUCGUGCCUCGGUACGUACUGGCGUAAUUGGUUUCUCCCUUCUGAAGAACCUCGAUGUCAUUAAUUUGGUGUCGUGGGGAAUCAGGACUGUUACUUUGAAAAAAUUAGAGUGUUUAAAGCAGGCUCGCGCUUGAAUACAUUAGCAUGGAAUAAUGAAAUAGGACGUUUGAUUCUAUUUUGUUGGUUUCUAGGAUCGACGUAAUGAUUAAUAGGGACAGUUGGGGGCAUUAGUAUUCAAUUGUCAGAGGUGAAAUUCUUGGAUUUAUUGAAGACUAACUACUGCGAAAGCAUUUGCCAAGGAUGUUUUCAUUAAUCAAGAACGAAAGUUAGGGGAUCGAAGACGAUCAGAUACCGUCGUAGUCUUAACCAUAAACUAUGCCGACUAGGGAUCGGAUGAUGUUGAUUUUUUAAUGACUCAUUCGGCGCCUUACG
Molecule: ribosomal RNA, 499 nt
Filed under: uncultured Glomeromycotina
Lineage: Eukaryota; Fungi; Glomeromycota
Description: partial small subunit ribosomal RNA
Rfam family: Eukaryotic small subunit ribosomal RNA
Source: RNAcentral